AAAAGGCUUUCAUUUUUUUGGUAGAAUUGAGUCGUUAAUAUGAAGGAUUCUGAUCAGUUUUUCGUCUACUAUUUCUAUGCAUUUUGGUUCUUCCUAAAAAUAAAACCUGCCCGGCUCAUUUGUACACAUGUAUGCUUAUUUUUAUUCUACAUAAUUGUGUCUGUGAAAUAGUUCGUGAUGUUUAGUGUGGUAGCCACUCAGAACUGCUACAUAUAGUUUAAUUUGGGAUCAAAAGGGGAUGUGGGGUUGCUGAAAAAUAAUUUUACCACUACUAUCUGCUUGAAAUUACAGAGGUGGAUGUACUUCUUUUGAUGAUAGUAUGACAAACUAUUGUUUUUCUACUAAUUUAUAUAGCUUUUCUCCAUAGAAAUAGAACACCGUGUGUUAGUAAUAAACUCACCAUUUUCAGUAUUUGCCUUUUUAGUGAUUAUUAAGUUAUCUCUUUUUAUGUUCAAAAUAGUGGUUGUUCCUUGGUGGCACUGGCGUCAUGGUGAAUGGCAGGCCGCCUCCGCACUGCUGGUCCCACAUAUGGGCGGGAGGCGGUUUUCCUUAUUUCUUCCGGUGUUCUACGCUAGAGAAAGGAAAACUCUCCUGAUUGGCUUUUCCUCCAUCGACUCGAGUCAUUAUAAAGACAUCAAGUUUUAGCUUUUACUAAUGUAUCCUAUGGAAUUAAAUAUUGGUCGGCAUUAUGGCUGGUAGUUUUUUUUAUGUCACUAGAUAUGGCUUUUAUGGCUAAAACUUCCUAGAAACACAUUAUCAAACACCAGGUAGAUUUACUAUUUAGAUAUAGAGAUAGUUCAUAGACUAAAAUGACAAUUGGUGAUUUAUUCCCCAUCGAAGUUGUUCAGUUUUUUAGGACGCUAAUGGACUAAGUAGUUUCGGUGGCACACGAGUCUGGAGAUAUCUCCUUCGGUGAUUUAUUCCCCAUCGAAAAUUGAGGAGAUUGUAGGGAUGAUUUGUUGAUGUUUGUUUUUUUUGGCAAUAGGUGAUACUCCUCGAACUAGAUAUUGAUGUAUCCAAGCAAUAAUCCUCGCUGCCAUCCUCUCCGUUGUUCAGGAAGGGCAUACUGGGCAUGGAGAAGCAAGAUAUUAGAGAUGGGACACCAAGGAGAGGAAGGCAGGUCUCCAGAAUAAAAAAAGACAGUUCCAAGAGGAAGGAAAGAAGGAAAGUCUGCGGCUUUGGCAGUAUGGAGAUGUUAAAUCUGACGAGGAGCAGGUUUCAGGUGCAAGAAAAGCGGGAGGCCGUCGGUAGAUGAGAGCAGAUUACUCAAGACAGUGUUCAUAGUGUAGUAAAAAUGGUCAUGGUUUACCUGUGACGUUUUGGACGCUCCCAGCAGAACUCAGCCCGAAACUAUAUGAAGUGACAGGGCUACAUUUAUGCAGUUAGAACAAGCCAAUGCUGAACGUUCUUAGUUUGAGCAGUAUUUGCUACUCCAUUCAGUUAUUACAUCUUUAGAGUGGAGAGCUAAACUACAUUCUUUCGCCCUUACGAUUAACAAGGUUGUUUCUCUGUGCACUAUAUUUUGUUGUUAUGAGGCAUUCAAA
Long non-coding RNA from Lolium perenne, 1544 nucleotides. RefSeq lists it as uncharacterized. The record is from RefSeq and is a predicted model, not a curated record. Lineage: Eukaryota; Viridiplantae; Streptophyta; Magnoliopsida; Poales; Poaceae.